GUCACGAUAGCUCAAGUGGUAGAGCAGCGGAGUACCGAGCCGAAGGUCGUGGGUUCGAAUCCCGAUCGUGACA
Molecule: transfer RNA, 73 nt
Filed under: Cimex lectularius (bed bug)
Lineage: Eukaryota; Metazoa; Arthropoda; Insecta; Hemiptera; Cimicidae
Description: tRNA-Gly
Rfam family: tRNA
About the family: Transfer RNA (tRNA) molecules are approximately 80 nucleotides in length. Their secondary structure includes four short double-helical elements and three loops (D, anti-codon, and T loops). Further hydrogen bonds mediate the characteristic L-shaped molecular structure. tRNAs have two regions of fundamental functional importance: the anti-codon, which is responsible for specific mRNA codon recognition, and the 3' end, to which the tRNAs corresponding amino acid is attached (by aminoacyl-tRNA synthetases). tRNAs cope with the degeneracy of the genetic code in two manners: having more than one tRNA (with a specific anti-codon) for a particular amino acid; and 'wobble' base-pairing, i.e. permitting non-standard base-pairing at the 3rd anti-codon position.
Source: Rfam by way of RNAcentral